CCCUUAGAUGUUCUGGGCCGCACACGCGCUACACUAAAGGAGGCAGCGUGUACUCCUGGAUCGAAAGAUUUGGGUAACCCGCGAAUCUCCUUCGUGCUAGGGAUUGAGGUUUGCAAUUAUCCUUCAUGAACGAGGAAUUCCCAGUAAGUGCAAGUCAUAAGCUUGCGCUGACUACGUCCCUGCCCUUUGUACACACCGCCCGUCGCUACUACCGAUUGAAUGAUUUAGUGAGGACUUCGGACUGGGACCGAUGCGGCUUUCGGGCUGCGUCGGUAUUCUGGAAAGAUGUCCAAACUGUAUCAUUUAGAGGAAGUAAAAGUCGUAACA
RNAcentral lists this ribosomal RNA (327 nucleotides) under uncultured eukaryote. Its description in RNAcentral is "partial 18S ribosomal RNA". It matches the Rfam family "Eukaryotic small subunit ribosomal RNA", at positions 1470 to 1796 of the family's 1831-position model. The record is from RNAcentral.